AUCCCCCGGUAGGGUGGCAAACGGGUGAGUAAUACAUGGGUGAUCUACCUUAGGGAUGGGGAUAUCCUUCCGAAAGGAGGGGCAAUACCGAAUAUUGUCCGGAGCCGUGAAGGGUUCCGGGGAAGGGAGGCCUCUGAUACAAAGCUUUUCGCCUUAAGAUGAGCCCAUGGCCCAUCAGCUAGUUGGUAGGGUAAAGGCCUACCAAGGCUACGACGGGUCGCUGGUCUGAGAGG
This 233-nucleotide ribosomal RNA is filed under the name uncultured bacterium. RNAcentral describes it as "partial 16S ribosomal RNA". It matches the Rfam family "Bacterial small subunit ribosomal RNA", at positions 82 to 299 of the family's 1533-position model. The record is from RNAcentral.